UGAGAAUGUUUUACUUAUUUUGUAUCUUCUAUAACUUUUUCAUUCAAAUACAUUUAUCAUAUAACAUUAUAAAUUCAUUCCUUUAAUCAUAGCAAAAUCAUUUAUAAAACAUAAAACAAAUAAGAUGCUAAUUUUUACCCUUGUCCUACACACUAUUAGGUAAUUAUUCAAUUUGCCUUUAAAAUCAUGCAUCAAAAUGUUAUAUUUCUUUACUGGAAAUUAAUAUGAAAAUUUAAAUAUUGAACCUGAUAUUGUUGAAAAGAUGUGUUACUAAAUAUAUGCAUUUAGGGGCAAGAAUUUUCUUAUACACUUUCAGUUAAGCAUUUUAAAAAUAUUAUGUUAAUAAAAUAACUUUAAAACACAACAUUAAUGAUUAAAUCACAGAAAAAAAGAAAAAUUGAAAGUUUUAUUUUAUACCUUAUACAUGAACCUAAAACUAAAAUGAUAUGUUAUGAUAAAUGCUUCAACCAAAUGUUUAGAAAUAAAAGUUAAAUCAAGAUAGCCAUGAAUAAAUUAUCAUUAUAAGUUGAUGUUCUUGUGUUUUAAUUUUGUGUUUAAUCUAGAAUUGUAAAUAUUUUAACACAGUAAAUAAAAUAAAUGCAUGUAGAACUUAAAAACAAAAAAACAUGAGUUUACUAUAAUUUUACUUUCAAACUGAUAGCUUCAACUUGUGUUACAUGAAUAAAGGGAGGAAACCCAAUAAAACAGGUGGACAUGAAAAAUAUAGGAAUCAGGGGUAGGAUUGCUAUUGAGACUAUCCAUUAAAGACAAAAGAAAUGACCAUUUGCAGUCACUGAACAGCCUUAAAAAAAAGAUUAAAGCACUGUGAAAAUAUAUUGAUUUUACCAAUUUGUCAUGUUUAUGUAAUUUUUGCCAUAAAUAUUUUGGAAUAAAUGCAUGUCUUUCAAUUUGGUUACUAUCUGGUUACCACUAUAAUUCCUAGUGGGUCAUUUAUAGUAUAUCAAAAAUAUGUUAGGAAGUUUAAAAUGUGUAUCUCUAUUUGAAACACUUCAAUAAAGUUCAGUGACAAGCAUGGCAUUGCACAGAAACCUCAAUUAUUUUUUAACGAUAUGGCAUGUAAGAAAGAGAAUAUCAAACUUUCCAGUUGUUGUAAAUCUCUGUGGUUAACAGUAGUGUAUGCCCACAUUGAAAAGGAAUGAGGUAGAAUUGUUGGAACAUUGAUACAGCAAGUCACAAAGACAAUAUACAAUAUAGGGACUUCAACCUUACUGUACUGUUGGUCUUACAAUUCAACCAUGCCAAUACACAAAACUUAUAAAUGUUCAAUCAUGGAAUCAGUUCACAUGAGAAUUUUGUAUAAUUAACCCUUGCCAAUACACAAAAUUUAUAAGUGUUCAAUCAUGGAAUCAGUUCACAUGAGAAUUUUGUAUAAACCAUCACAGGUAAAUGAGAAGAAUUAUAGGGAUCUUCCUCCCCAAAAAGGUUUUGGAUUUAAGUAUAUUUUAACAUUAAUUGUUGGUGGAGCAAUAUUUAACAUUCAUGUAACAUGUUAAGGCUUUAUAUCUAAAAUGAUUCUUACUAACAUUUUACAGAAAAGUGGCAAAAAAAUAGAAACUAGUUAUAAUAAAGUUUGAUGUAGUCUUUAACUUUUCACAUAAAUACAUUUAGUCUGUAAACCAACGAAUUAACAAAAUCUUGACAGAAGAAUUUUGUUUAUCAUUUAUUAUCCAACUAUUCAUAUCGUUGAAAAUAUAUGAGGUGAACUUUGAUAUAUAUAUAUAUUUGAUCAUAUUAUAGAUUUGAUUAUACUGCAUAGAACCUUUAAUGAAUAAAUAAGCUGAAAUUUCCCCCAAAAAUAAAAUUAAGAAUUGUAAGAAGUGGAUUUAAGGGCAUGAAUUGCCCUGCUAUAAAUAGUUUGUCUAGAUGUUGCCUAUAUUUUCUAAAUGUAAAAUCAAAGACAUUUUCUUCCCAAAGCUCAAAUUCUGUAAAAAAAUAUUCAUUUACCUUAGUGGUUUACACGAUCGGCUAACAAAAGAGAUGUCUUCUUCCUUUCUCACCAUAAAACAAUAGAUGGGUGGUUAUCAAACUGAAUUGUUCAAUUUUUUGUUUUGUGAUUUUGAUUUUUUAUUUAAUUUUUAAAUCUGAAAAUAAUCCAAUGUUUCUCCUAAUUCGACCAAGAUUUUAAAUUUAAUAAAUCCCCCAUGCACAUUGGAAUUGAAAUUUUGCAGUUUCCAAAGAUAAUUGAAUUUAGUGAUAGGAAAUAGGACUAGUAUAUAUACUUCAUGUAGCUAAUGACACACAAUAAAUGUUUUUUGGCAAGCAAUACAAUAUUUUAGGACUUACAGUGAAUCAAAUGAUGGAGUGGGAGACAGGAAACUGACAUUUCUUUGUUUGCCGAUGUACACUGAUGUAAGUGAUUCCAUACUUCCAUUCUAGUUAAUACACAUGUACACAUUGCUGUAAAUUGGUAUUUUAACAAAUAAUGCAUAAGACAAAUACACUGUUCAUGUUUUUAACACUUUUCAUAGCAGAAAUAAACAAAAAAUAGUCCUAGUAGAAACACAACCUUCUAAUACAUGUAAUAUGUAUAUAUUUUUAAACAGCAAUUUUUCACUUUAAACCCAAAACAUUCAACAGGCUCUUUAACUGGAAAAUAUAUAGGUACAUUUACAAUUUUAAUUUAUGGUCAUGGUUGAAUAAUCAUGAAUAAUAUUAUUGAUUUUAAAAACUUUGUAAUGAUAUCUUGUUGUUUUUUGUAAACCAGUUCCAUUAAUGGCAUCUCAUACAUUGUGCUUUUACUAUUACAUGCAACGAACCAUGACAUUUCUAACAUAAAUACAAACAACCUUUGUGAUUAAUAAAAGAAAAAUAACAUAUAAUUAAAUAUACAGAUGCUUAAAAAUAUUACUGAAAAAAUCUAACAUUUUUGCAAGAAAAAAAACCUUGCAAUGAUACACCUAUAUAUACAAAUAGUGUAUACAUCUCUUAAUAAAUAUAAGCAUGAAUUGAUAAGUUUGAGGAGUGUAGGACAAGUGUAAAGUUCAGUCUAGUUUGAGGACUAAUCCAUUAAAUCUGGCAUUCUGACAAAAAUCUCACACAGACAUAUAUUGUCUACCACUAAUUGAAAGUACUUGUUUCAGAAGAUUCCAGUCUAUAUCAGAGUAUACUUUCACAUGGAUGAUGGUGGGUGGUAAAGGGUUAUUUUCGUGCAACAUGUUUUGCCAUUUUUAUUUCACGUGCAGCCAAGAAAAAGGUUCGUUAUUCACUGUGUUUCGUGAAAUCAGUUAAAAGAUC
Molecule: long non-coding RNA, 3255 nt
Filed under: Mytilus galloprovincialis (Mediterranean mussel)
Lineage: Eukaryota; Metazoa; Mollusca; Bivalvia; Mytilida; Mytilidae
Source: RNAcentral